This 515-nucleotide ribosomal RNA is filed under the name uncultured bacterium. RNAcentral describes it as "partial 16S ribosomal RNA". It matches the Rfam family "Bacterial small subunit ribosomal RNA", at positions 28 to 523 of the family's 1533-position model. The record is from RNAcentral.
GAUGAACGCUGGCGGCGUGCCUAAUACAUGCAAGUCGAGCGAAUGGAUUAAGAGCUUGCUCUUAUGAAGUUAGCGGCGGACGGGUGAGUACCACGUGGGUAACCUGCCCAUAAGACUGGGAUAACUCCGGGCAACCGGGGCUAAUACCGGAUAACAUUUUGAACCGCAUGGUUCGAAAUUGAAAGGCGGCUUCGGCUGUCGCUUAUGCAUGCACCCGCGUCGCAUUAGCUAGUUGGUGAGGUAACGGCGCACCAAGGCAACGAUGCGGAGCCGACCUGAGAGGGUGAUCGGCCACACUGGGACUGAGACACGGCCCAGACUCCUACGGGAGGCAGCAGUAGGGAAUCUUCCGCAAUGGACGAAAGUCUGACGGAGCAACGCCGUGUGAGUGAUGAAGGCUUUCGGGUCGUAAAACUCUGUUGUUAGGGAAGAACAAGUGCUAGUUGAAUAAGCUGGCACCUUGACGGUACCUAACCAGAAAGCCACGGCUAACUACGUGCCAGCAGCCGCCGUAA